GCUUCUAUAGCUCAGCCGGUAGAGCGUGCGGCUGUUACAUAUAUCCGAGUCCGUGCCGGAUAUCUCUGCCACCGCAAGGUCGACGGUUCAAGCCCGUCUGGAAGCG
Molecule: transfer RNA, 106 nt
Filed under: Chlamydomonas reinhardtii
Lineage: Eukaryota; Viridiplantae; Chlorophyta; Chlorophyceae; Chlamydomonadales; Chlamydomonadaceae
Description: tRNA tRNA-Asn
Rfam family: tRNA
About the family: Transfer RNA (tRNA) molecules are approximately 80 nucleotides in length.
Source: Rfam by way of RNAcentral